Gossypium raimondii (Peruvian cotton) is the source of this 87-nucleotide non-coding RNA. The record is from Rfam. NCBI's taxonomy places the organism in Eukaryota, Viridiplantae, Streptophyta, Magnoliopsida, Malvales, Malvaceae.
CAUGUCAGAGCGCUUUGCUGACGUGGCAACAAAUCGCCCCCUCGUGGACGCGAUUUGUUGUCACGUCAGCAAAGCGCGCUGACGUGG